Molecule: long non-coding RNA, 232 nt
Filed under: Elaeis guineensis (African oil palm)
Lineage: Eukaryota; Viridiplantae; Streptophyta; Magnoliopsida; Arecales; Arecaceae
Description: long non-coding RNA (EGUI_LNC048841)
Source: RNAcentral
CAGUGAAUUUAUUUGGUAUGUGGGAAGUUGGAGCACCAAAGGUUAGCACCCCUUCAUCCCACGAGACAUCCCCUGGUCCCCUAUUUAUAGGGGAUGCCCACAAGGCUUCUACCUAUGAUUUUUGGGUGAAAUCAGAGAGAAGGGAUGUGGUAAACAUAAAAAAAAUUCUAAAAAAAAAUUGAGAAAAAAAAAGAGAGAAUUUUGAGUGGCAAAAGUUGCUACAAAGGUGGUG